Molecule: long non-coding RNA, 433 nt
Organism: Danaus plexippus (monarch butterfly)
Lineage: Eukaryota; Metazoa; Arthropoda; Insecta; Lepidoptera; Nymphalidae
Exons: 2
Source: RefSeq, a predicted model, not a curated record
AACUCCUUAAUGAAGUAGUAUAAAAAUUUGUGCUACUAAAACUGUUAUCUAUUUAAUUGACAAUUGUGUUAUAAAUUAUGUAUACAUCUAUUGAUGAUUGCCCCUCCCCCUAUUUAAAGGUUCUUGAUAUCAAUUUAGUAUAAAAGUACAAUAAUUUUGCAAAGACAACAUACUACAGAAAAAACUUACUAACAAAAUGGUGUCGAAGGCCAGUAUAGCGUGUGUCCUUUUCAUCGUUUGCUUCGUCACAACAGUCCAUAUGUUGCCAGCGGGAUCCGAGUGCCGCAAUAAAAACGCAAUGCCCAUGAAAACCAACAAUGCAAACGAGCUUCUGUCAGAUGUCAAUGUUGAAGUUAUAAGUUUAAAGGAUAUCUUAGGUUGCGCUGAUAUUCUCACUUCUUAAUUGAAUGAAUAAAUGACUUCCUUAAAUCAC